GAUGAAGAACGCAGCGAAAUGCGAUACGUAAUGUGAAUUGCAGAAUUCCGUGAAUCAUCGAAUCUUUGAACGCACAUUGCGCCCCUUGGUAUUCCGAGGGGCAUGCCUGUUCGAGCGUCAUUAUAACCCCUCAAGCUCAGCUUGGUGUUGGGGCCUGCUGCACUGGCAGCCCUUAAAAUCAGUGGCGGCGCCAUCUGGCUCUAAGCGUAGUAAUUCUUCUCGCUAUGGAGUCCUGGUGGAUGCUUGCCAUCAACCCCCAAUUUUUCUAUGGUUGACCUCGGAUCAGGUAGGGAUACCCGCUGAACUUAAGCAUAUCAAUAAGCGGAGGA
RNAcentral lists this unclassified non-coding RNA (329 nucleotides) under soil metagenome. Its description in RNAcentral is "partial contains 5.8S ribosomal RNA, internal transcribed spacer 2, and large subunit ribosomal RNA". The stretch from base 1 to 120 matches the Rfam family "5.8S ribosomal RNA", at positions 35 to 154 of the family's 154-position model. The record is from RNAcentral.